This 73-nucleotide transfer RNA is filed under the name Sus scrofa (pig). RNAcentral's name for it is "tRNA-Tyr (GTA) (tRNA-Tyr-GTA-6-1)". It matches the Rfam family "tRNA". Rfam says of the family: Transfer RNA (tRNA) molecules are approximately 80 nucleotides in length. Lineage: Eukaryota; Metazoa; Chordata; Mammalia; Artiodactyla; Suidae. The record is from RNAcentral.
CCUUUGAUAGCUCAGCUGGUAGAGCAGAGGACUGUAGAUCCUUAGGUCGCUGGUUCGAUUCCGGCUCAAAGGA